CACGUAGUUAGCCGGGGCUUCCUCCUAAGGUACCGUCACUUCCUUCUUCCCUUAGGACAGAGCUUUACGACCCAAAGGCCUUCUUCGCUCACGCGGCGUUGCUGCAUCAGGCUUUCGCCCAUUGUGCAAGAUUCCCCACUGCUGCCUCCCGUAGGAGUUUGGACCGUGUCUCAGUUCCAAUGUGGCCGAUCACCCUCUCAGGUCGGCUACUGAUCGUCGCCUUGGUAGGCCGUUACCCCACCAACUAACUAAUCAGACGCAGGCCCAUCCUCUGCCGAUAAAUCUUUGGCCAAAAGCCCAUGCGGGCUCUCAGUAUCAUGAGGUUUUAAUCCCGGUUUCCCGAGGCUAUCCCUCUGCAAAGGGCAGGUUGCCUACGCGUUACUCACCCGUCCGCCGCUUUCCGCAAGAAACUUCAACCGAAAUCUCCGUCCCUUGUUUCUCGCUCGACUUGCAUGUGUUAGGCACGCCGCCAGCGUUCAUCCUGAGCCAGGAUCAAACUCU
Molecule: ribosomal RNA, 501 nt
Filed under: uncultured Anaerovorax sp.
Lineage: Bacteria; Bacillati; Bacillota; Clostridia; Peptostreptococcales; Anaerovoracaceae
Description: partial 16S ribosomal RNA
Source: RNAcentral